This 533-nucleotide long non-coding RNA is filed under the name Physcomitrium patens. RNAcentral's name for it is "long non-coding RNA (PPAT_LNC003991)". Lineage: Eukaryota; Viridiplantae; Streptophyta; Bryopsida; Funariales; Funariaceae. The record is from RNAcentral.
AAGAUUCCCAAACCUGCGACAAGUUUGUGUAGACGAGGGAUUACCUGUUCCUGUACCUAUCAACGGCCGGCUCUCACAUCGUCAAACGCUUUGUCCUCAUAUGAUGAGGCCAUUUCAAUGGCCCGCUCUCACAUAGUCAAACGCUUUGUUCUCAUAUGAUGAGGCCAUUUCUUGUAAGCCCCAUACAUCGAAUUUGUGUUGCAGUUUACUUCAUAAUAAGUUAUGGUUCCUUCAGGUCAAACAUAAUUCGAUUUUAGCCACUUUUGAAGUUUUCUUUAUAGCUAAUCUCGGAUAUUGUGACAAUUGAGAAACUUCCGAGAUUACAAUGAUAUCUAAAGAUUUGAGAAUGGUACACUCAGCAACAUGCUGGAAUCUGAUAAAGAAGGUUGCUGAUGUUCUUUAACGCCUCGAUCUUUACUUUGAACGUUCUUUGUUGAAUGUAAUCUUCCUUUCGAGGAUUCUGAGGAUGAACUAUUAGUCGAAUGGCUGAAUCAUUGCGAGUGUUUCUUUGUUGGAUAUUCGUGGCAAGGUAA